GGCGGAGCUCCUCCCUAUUACUUAGCACUCACAUUACUCAGAUACAAUCUGUGAGCAGUAAGGAACUCGAUCUUCAAUCGGUAUAGGGAUCAAACCAUGAGCAAUGCGAAGGAGACCGGAGAUGCAGCUCCCGCACACCAUUUGGCAGCAGAUGCAUCCAAAUUUGCGUCAAACAUAACCCACCAUGUUGCUGCAUUUUUAAGGUAUAAGGAUCAAUCCAUGGGCAAUGUGAAGGAGACAGGAGAUGCUGCUCCAAAUAUCAGUGAUAAAGUUACAGCAGCCGCACACCCUUUGGCGGCAGAUACAUCAGAAAUUGCAUCAAACAUAGCCUACCAUGCUCAGUACACUCCUCAUUUUUCCCCUCUCAAGUUUGAUCUGGAGCCAGCUUACUAUGCAACAGCCGAGAGUGUUCGCGACUACCUGAUUCAGAGGUGGAACGAAACGUACUUGCAUUUUCACAUAACUGAUCCAAAACAGACAUACUACCUGUCCAUGGAAUAUCUGCAAGGCCGUUCUCUCACCAAUGCUGUUGGAAACCUUGGCACCAUAAAUGCAUAUGCUGAUGCUUUAAAUAAGUUAGGGCAUGAACUUGAGGAAAUUGCCGAGCAGGAAAAAGAUGCUGCUUUGGGAAAUGGUGGCUUGGGCAGGCUUGCAUCAUGCUUUCUAGAUUCAAUGGCAACGCUAAAUCUUCCUGCUUGGGGUUAUGGUUUACGGUACAGAUAUGGCCUAUUUAAACAGAAAAUCAGUGAGGAAGGCCAGGA
RNAcentral lists this unclassified non-coding RNA (761 nucleotides) under Hevea brasiliensis (rubber tree). The record is from RNAcentral. Lineage: Eukaryota; Viridiplantae; Streptophyta; Magnoliopsida; Malpighiales; Euphorbiaceae.